RNAcentral lists this long non-coding RNA (210 nucleotides) under Lathyrus oleraceus (garden pea). RNAcentral's name for it is "Pisum sativum (pea) long non-coding RNA (PSAT_LNC034000)". Lineage: Eukaryota; Viridiplantae; Streptophyta; Magnoliopsida; Fabales; Fabaceae. The record is from RNAcentral.
CAUAUUUUAUCAAAUUUUCUCGGGGUCCUUAAACUUAGCUUCUCAUUCCUAGGAUUCUAUAUACCUUUUCAAUGGAAUCACAAUCAAAAUCUUUUAAAAAAAAUUCAAACGGUUCUAAUUGGGGGAAAGUUAACACCGAUACAUGAUUAAAGUAAAACAAACAAAAGAAAAUCAAAACAAAAAAACAAAAGAUAAGAAGCUAUAAAAGAA